CAACAGGUUUGGUCCUAGCCUUUUUGUUAAUUCGUAGUUGACUUACACAUGCAAGAAUCCCCAAGCCAGUGAAAAUGCCCUCCAGCUCAUAUACUGAUUAAGAGGAGCGGAUAUUAAGCACACACCAGUAGCUCAAAAUAUCUUGCUCAACCACACCCCCAAGGGACACAGCAGUGAUAAAUAUUAAGCAAUGAACGAAAGUUUGACUAAGUUAGACUACACUAGAGUUGGUAAAUUUCGUGCCAGCCACCGCGGUCAUACGAAUAACCCAGAUUAACAAACCCCGGCGUAAAGCGUGUUUUUAGAGCCCCAACACAAUAAAGUUAAAUAUUAUCCAGGCUGUAGAAAGCUAUAGCUACAAUAAAAACCACAACGAAAGUGACUUUAGCACACUUGAAUACACGAAAGCUAGGACCCAAACUGGGAUUAGAUACCCCACUAUGCCUAACCAUAAACCUAGAUAGUUACAACAACAAAACUAUUCGCCAGAGGACUACUAGCAACAGCUAAAAACUCAAAGGACUUGGCGGUGCUUUAUACCCCCUAGAGGAGCCUGUUCUAUAAUCGAUAAACCCCGCUCAACCUCACCACCCCUUGCCAACUCAGCCUGUAUACCGCCAUCUUCAGCAAACCCUAAAAAGGUGAAACAGUAAGCACAAUAACUCUCGUAAAAACGUUAGGUCAAGGUGUAGCCUAUGGGGUGGAAAGCAAUGGGCUACAUUUUCUUUCCCCAAAGAACAACACGAAGGCCCUUAUGAAAAUUAAGGACUAAAGGCGGAUUUAGCAGUAAACUAAGAGCAGAGAGCUUAGUUGAACACGGCAAUGAAGCACGCACACACCGCCCGUCACCCUCCUCAAUUAUUUAAAAAUCCUGUGCCCUUAAAUAAAUUAAACACACCAACAAAUACUAGAGGAGAUAAGUCGUAACAAGGUAAGUAUACUGGAAGGUGUACUUGGAAAACC
This 963-nucleotide non-coding RNA is filed under the name Ochotona sp. WJ-2016d. RNAcentral's name for it is "12S ribosomal RNA". It matches the Rfam family "Bacterial small subunit ribosomal RNA". Lineage: Eukaryota; Metazoa; Chordata; Mammalia; Lagomorpha; Ochotonidae. The record is from RNAcentral.